UCUAAUUAGUGUCCAGGAGCGGAGGUGAGAGUGAGGGGUCUAGCGUUGUCCGGGUUGAUGUGUAGGAAGUGGCGCGUGGGCGGGUUUUGGCUGCGGAGUUGAAAACCCAAUGGCUUCACUGUGGGCCUGCAUUUGGUACGGGACAACUAGAGUGUGGGAGGGGAGACGUGAACUCCUGGUGUAGCGGUGGAAUGCGCAGAUAGCAGGAAGAACACCGAUGGCGAAGGCAGGUCUCUGGGCCAUAACUGACGCUGAGGAGCGAAAGCGUGGGGAGCGAACAGGAUUAGAUACCCGGGUAGU
Molecule: ribosomal RNA, 300 nt
Filed under: uncultured Haloarcula sp.
Lineage: Archaea; Methanobacteriati; Methanobacteriota; Halobacteria; Halobacteriales; Haloarculaceae
Description: bacterial SSU rRNA
Rfam family: Bacterial small subunit ribosomal RNA
Source: RNAcentral